CCGCAUUACCGAACUUACUAAAAGAAGAGAAAAGAGUCUGUACCGAAAAAGAGUCUGCACGGAAAAAAAAAGAGUCUGUACCUAAAGAGAGACUCUGUGAAUCUAAAUCUGUUUAUUUAUUUUAUUUUAUUUUACACAUAUUCAAACUAUAGAUUACGAAUUUGGGAUUCGAAUUUGUGAAUUAACUGAAUUUGCUGGGCGAAACGAAGGAGGCAAUGCCCAACAGAUCAACCGGACCUCAAAUAUAUCUUUGCUUCCCGGGUAUUUAAAUCACAUUUCACGAGAACAAAUAAUGGCAAUUCACGGCUCACGAAAAUACCCUUAACAAACUCAUCAUAGAGUCAAUGCAAAAUACAUGUAGUCAUUCUUGUUUUGACUGUAAAGAACAAGUCAAGAAAAGAAAGGUUUAUCCCUAUUAAAAUUUCUUUCAUCAAGUAUGCUAUGAAAGUCCAUCAAUGGCACAGUUUUCUUUAAAAUGUCAAAGCAAAGCUGACUUAACUAUUAACAAUUAAUUCGAGAAUCGUAAUUCAAACACAAAGUGUGCCAAGUCUAUAAAACCGAUCUGUACGAUAUUACCGUUCUUAGAGUUGAUAUAUCUUAAUUUAUAUAAUUAUUUCACAUUAUUAUUCAUGCAGUAUAAAACUGGUCUACAGCCACCAACAUCCGUUAUUUUAUACAUAGUUUAGUUUAAGAUGUCCUCUGAUGUCAUCAGAUAUCCUCGCUUUUCCCUUGUUCCUCCUCUUCUUCCUUUACGCCACAGAAAAUUAAAGAUAUUAAAACUCUAUACUUGUUUGAUGGUGUUAAAUGCAAAACCACGGGCGGAUCCACCGUGGGGGUACAGGGGGAAGGAGGGUUGUAUACCCCACCUAGUAGUGUCAAGCACCCACUAGAGAAGUUCAGAACCACUCUAAAAAAACUGCUUUACCAUGCAUUUUCUGCUUUUCGAAUAACGGAACUUCUACUGUUAGCGUGUGUCGAUUUCUUCAAACGAUUUAAAAUUGAUUUGUGAGCUCACGAGAAAACACUCAGAAUGCUUCAGUUAAUAUCAUGGUUAAAUAUGUAAACAUGUCGAGGUUGUUAUACAGCCAUAUUUUCAAAUAUAGCGUACUUUAUUGAACUGUGUUACAGCAACUGUCCAGUCACGCAUCUGUCCAGUCAUCUCAAAUGAUGGUAAUGUUGGGAUACACGGCAUAAAACGCCGAGCCCGUUGCUCAACAGAACUGAACAAUGUUUUGCUGCCCACGUUGUUCACACUUGUCAACAAUAUUGAACAAUGUUGUUGAGCCUGAA
Molecule: non-coding RNA, 1290 nt
Organism: Paramuricea clavata
Lineage: Eukaryota; Metazoa; Cnidaria; Anthozoa; Malacalcyonacea; Plexauridae
Source: the annotation of a GenBank genome assembly